AUACGGAGGGUGCAAGCGUUACUCGGAAUCACUGGGCGUAAAGCGCGCGCAGGCGGCUACUUAAGUUGGAUGUGAAAGCCUACGGCUCAACCGUAGAACUGCAUCCAAAACUAUUUAGCUAGAGUGUGGGAGAGGAAGAUGGAAUUAGUUGUGUAGGGGUAAAAUCCGUAGAGAUAACUAGGAAUACCAAAAGCGAAGGCAAUCUUCUGGAACACUACUCACGCUGAGGCGCGAAAGCGUGGGGAGCAAACAGGAUUAGAAACCCUAGUAGUCC
This 274-nucleotide ribosomal RNA is filed under the name uncultured bacterium. RNAcentral describes it as "partial 16S ribosomal RNA". It matches the Rfam family "Bacterial small subunit ribosomal RNA", at positions 523 to 796 of the family's 1533-position model. The record is from RNAcentral.